ACAUGUUUUAUAAGAUUCUCCAUGGCUUCAAAGACCAAGUUGGGGAGGAAAACUGGCAGCAGUUCUCAGAGCAGUUCCCGCCGCUGCUCAAGGAGAGGUUGGCUGCCUUCUACGGGUCUAGAGGAGCAGUGAGACUGCCGGUUUCUGUCUGCGUCGUCAUCAGAGGGGUGGCUGGGGAGCACACCGCGUCCAGAAGUUGCUGUGCCCUGGUCGAGGGGGGUUAGGGAGGAGUGAGUGGGACCCAAAUCCAGAUGCCUUCCCUGCGCAUCUACCUGCCAUGCCUGGCCGGUGUGGCCAGCCAGUGGUGGGCGGGUGGGUGGGGCGUCCACGCUCACCCUACAAAUGGGAGGGGGGUGGGACUUCUUGGCAGCAAGGGCCCCUUUCUCUAAGUAAGGUCACCAUAGGCAGCCCACAGGGCCAGCCACGUGGGAGGGAAGAAUCAGUACGGCCGACUGAAUCCAGCUUAGGAUGAGGCAGGGGAAAGCAAGCGGGGAGGGGGGGUCCCUGUAGAGAUGCGUACACACACGUACACACGUGGCUACACGCAUGUGUGGGCGCUGCAGCCAGCUAGCCUUGGUCAGCUGCCCCACCAUUUCCCUGACUGCAUGGAGACAGUAGAAUUAGUGAACCCGAGUUAACCCAUGAGGCCUUCCGUGUAACCUGCAUCUAGAGUUUAAGACGCUUCAGCCGUGUUACCAGAAUUGAUGAUGAUUGGGGAGGGCUGGGUGGGUUGGGGUCCUUUGCUGGGAACUCCGGGCAGGAUAAGACGAUGGUCACCUUGGGGCUGCCCUGUCAGCAAACACACACUUUGGACCUGCUCAGCGCACUUCCUGCCAGCUCUAUGGCAGCCGCAGCCACCCUGUCCCUCUCCUUGUCUCAUCCCAGUCAGAAUAGAGAGGGGACCACUGAGUGUGGCCAGGGCUGGCCAAAGGUCUCCCUUUUCCCUCCCUUGUGCUCCAGUGACAUGAACACACUGGGCUGGGGCCUUUUUCUGGAAGAGAGCGUCAGUGGCCAGAGCUGCUGACCUCUCCCCCUGCCUCUCUACAUAAGCAGGUCCAUUUAAAGGGCAAUCUAUUUCUCUGCUCCUGAGAGCACUCAAGUUCCAGGCCCAAGUUUUUAAAAUAAGGGCUGGGCAUUUAAUUGAUGUUGAUGAGACAAAAGCUUAUGCUUUACCAGC
Molecule: long non-coding RNA, 1177 nt
Organism: Pipistrellus kuhlii (Kuhl's pipistrelle)
Lineage: Eukaryota; Metazoa; Chordata; Mammalia; Chiroptera; Vespertilionidae
Exons: 2
Source: RefSeq, a predicted model, not a curated record